Numida meleagris (helmeted guineafowl) is the source of this 4126-nucleotide long non-coding RNA. RefSeq lists it as uncharacterized. The record is from RefSeq and is a predicted model, not a curated record. The transcript is spliced from 4 exons. NCBI's taxonomy places the organism in Eukaryota, Metazoa, Chordata, Aves, Galliformes, Numididae.
CUCAGCCUUUCUUAUGGGUUAGCUGCUAUUUCUAACCUGUCCAGAGCUGCAUUAUGUCAAAGGCCAUUAUUUAUUCAGAACCAGAGGUCACAAACUCCCAAAGCUGAGGAAAGCUAACUGCUUUAAGCCAAGGAAAAUAGAGUUUCAUGGAAACCUAUUUACCUCUGUACAGUGGAAACAGCUGAAUACUGAAGCUGAUCAUUGAAACUGUUCUCAAGUAACUUGCUUUGUCAGAGGAAAACCACUCUCACCUCAAAGCCAUAGCAAAGCUUGCAUGACCACAGAUGCUGUCAAGUGGGAAAAAAAACUGUGAGUUCCUACCAGCUGCAGUGAAUGGUUAGGCUAAUCCUCAGCACACACCAGCAUAACAUGACUGUUGGAUCUCAGGUUCCUUGCCUUGCUGAAGGAUUCGGAGAGGACAGGAAGGAGAGCCUCUUAAACAAAUCUUGAAAUUGAAGAAGUCUGAGACAACCUAAGCCUUCUGUCAAGAGAAAUGAUGCAAAACUGAUACAGCGGAUGCACACAAAAGAGGACUGGGGCAGAGGGAAAGGGAUCAGUUUGUGAAACAGCAAGUCUAAAGAACCAAGUCAAGAACUGGGGGAAUGUUCCCUGAUCUCCCAAAGGAGCAAGGAGAAGCCACUCUGCUCCCAGCAGCCAGGAUCUUCAGUGCUGACGUUUCCUGAGCAUGCACUGGCAGGGAGCAAUUGGAGCAUCCUUCUCAGAGUGUGUCACUCAUAAAAUAAACACAGCUGCAGCUCUCACCCUCCCUGUGGGAAGAGCAACCACCACAAAAUCAUUCUGUGCAAAACAGCCCCCUUUUUCCUUGGCCAAAUACAACAAAACUUCCUACCUACUACUACUACAGAUCUGGUAAGAGUGGCUUGUACUGGUGGGAUCAGGCAAGAGGGAGGAAGGUUGAAUUUAUUUCUGGGAAAAAAAAAAUCAAAUUAAAAAAUACUAAAGGAAGAGUAAUAAUAUUUCACUUCAGGAACCAGGGAACCAGGUGUCAUACAAAUCCAGUCAAAACAUUCAGCAUCCCUAGGAAAAACAGGGCUGUCCUUGGAUCUCCUUGAAUAUUGCAAGGGCUCUCAAAAUGACUGAGCAAGCUCAGAAGCUGGAGCAGCAUCGCUGCACAAAACGUAUAUGCUUUACUCUCCUUACAGAAGGAAAACAAUGGGGAAAAAUUAACUGGAUCACAUUAAGUUUGUAUUUAUCUUACAGCAUUUGUACUGAGAUGGGAGGAAGAGAUAGUCACCACAAGGGCAAGGGAGUAAGUGUUUACCCACUGCUAACUGAAUCUUUUCUAUUAGGUAUCUUCCAGCAGACUACGUAUCAAAACUCCCUACAAGCAGUACAAUAAUGAGGAUGGCUCUUUUAGUACCAAGGGACACAUAGCAGAGCUGGCAGCAGAACCUAGGAACAAGGCAGCAAGUAAAAGAAGCUUCAAGUCAGUGUCUACUUCUCUUUGGUCUGGGAGAAGACUGCCUAUAACCAAAGGUGAAUCAAAGCUAUCCAGUUAUUACCAGUCCCACCGGUGGGAACCUGCAAAGUGAAGAGGGUGAGAGUUGUUUUGUCUCCAUUACGUAAUGAAAAUAAGGAGAAACUUGAACAUGAAUGUGCAUGAAAUGGCACUUUGAGGGUGGGAAGAGGAGGAGGAGGAGGAGAAAGAAGAAGAGGAGGAGGGAAAUAGGCACUUCUGUGUGCUAGAAAGUUGCAUUGCUCAGAUAAUGAGAAGAUUGGUUCCCCUAGGAACAGACAACUCUGUUUAGAAAAGGCUGGGAUGAAGGGGCAAUAUCCUACAUUGUGCAACUGGAAAAACAACUAAAACUGCUCAUGGGAAAAAUAAGAAGAGCAGGGUUGCUCCCAAGGAAACAAACAAGCCAGAAAAAAAAUCCCAGCUCCUUUUAGAAAUGCAAACUUUACCAGAGUAAGAACAGACAGAACGAAUCUCGCAGACCCCAUACAUCCACAGGCACACUGGGGAGAAGUGCUGCUCUCCCAGGAAGCUGGGGGUCCAGAAUGGCCAGGCUUUAUGAGCAGAAAACCAUGACAUGGAUACUGCUCUGAGAGCGAUGUGCUACCCAUGUGUAGGUAGAUACCACCCAUGGAGCUGCUGCCCGGUAUGCUGAUGUGACCAGUUCCUUUCUAGCCACAGAAUGGCAGGUUGGUCUUGGCCCACUCCACACCAUCAAUGCCUGGCACUGUCAUCAUUCAGGUGGGAGUAAGGCUGUAAAAUGACACUCUGAUUGGGAAUUAAAGGCUGAGAUUAUUGUCACUCUUACCUGAGAUGCAACCUGUGUUCCUUCAAAUAAAGCAAGAGUUACUAUAAGGAGAUUACAGGACAUGGUUGUUGAGGGUCAUACUUUGCUUUUUCUCAGCCCUUAGAGUAACACUGUAUUAGCGUAUGUUGGCAUUUAAUUGCAAAAUUUAUUUUGUUUCUAUACUAAUGAUACUGUAUUUUUACUGAUUCAUUUUACAAUGAAAUGAAAUCAUUUUUCUGUAAUAUUCCUCCCACUACUUAACCUACUUAACAAAUUUCAACUCCCUGCAACAUAGUGCACAUAAAAUUGAUUUUAAUUUCAAAAGCAGUGAAAGUAUUUUUAUUCUUUACAUUUUUAUCACAGACAUUUUAGAUAUUUUUCACAUACCAGAAAUCAAUAAUGCAUGGUCUGAGAUCAAAUACAAAGCUAUGGUCCUCCAGACUGAGCAGUUUUGCUUUUAAAUUCUUAAAAUGUAAUAUCAAGGGAGAUAAUCAGUUUUUUAAAAAAGAUACAGAAAGAAAAGGUCUUUUGUUCCUAAUAUGUUAUUUGAUCCAAAUCUUCAUUUAAAAAACAAACUGGCCAGGUGCACCAAAUGUCCAGUGAUUUUGAAUGAUUAAGAAAACCUAUUGCACCUGCAAUACGCAGGUUUGCAGGGGGGAAAAAUAUUUUUUUUAAUUACCUUACUUCCUACAGCUGAGGAUAAAUACUGCAGUACUCUAUAGUUGAAAUGUGGAAGCCAACACUGGAAUUGUAAUAGCAUAUAGUAGGUUGAAUAGGGAGUAAGAUCUACCAUUCAAUAUGCACUUACCUAUUUCUGCAACAAAUACAUGGGCCAGAUGGAAGGUGAAGAAGAAAACAAUAAAAAAUGAAUGAUGUAUUCAGGGAUAUAUUGCAUCCAGUAUCAAAGUCAGGUAACAUACGCAGGUUGCUGAACACCCUGGCCUAUGUCCAGUCUUCUGAAUAACAUCAGCAAUAAAAUACGAGUACCGCCACAUGACACCAGACUGUAUGUAGUACAAGAGAAAAAUAUUUCUCACUUUUGCUCUAAAUACCUGUGCACAUGUCAGUCAUGCUCUUGUUACACAAAAAGCUGCUACUGGCAAAAGUGCUCAGCUCAGCCCCUCUCCAGAUUCUUUUCCCAUCUGAAUUAAAUCAGCAUCUUCAGACACAAGAUGACACCUAUCCUUGCCCCAGCCUCCAAAGAAGGAAGGACACAUUACCUUCAACAGCAAGAGUGUGAGACACCCACAUGACACCUGUUUCCAGAGGUGACACCUGCCAGCAUCUUGUUCUGGGGGAGAACUUAGCCUAAUGAGCCUUGGGUAUGUCAAAAGGGCUCCAAAAACAAACGAAGUGUCACCUGGAGCACUGUUGGGUUCUUGGGCCCACUGCUGAGAGGAGCUUUCCAACUGAGUCCUCCCUGUCUGCCUUUGAAAAUACAGCAGGCCCAAAAUUUGCCUCUACUGCACUUAAUGUUUUAAGUUUAAAUGCAGUCUGGAGAAAAAACAUCUGGGCCUGCACCAGUGCCUAAAUCUGGGAUGCUUUGUGAUGCUGCGGUGAAGAGAGGUGAAACAGAGGAGAGUCAGCACUUAGGUGUUGAGAAGCAGGUUGCUCGGCAGCACGUAGCUACUGAUUUACUAAUGAUUUAUGAUGUAAUGAUGUAAUCCCUAGAUACGUGGAAUGUGGUGUUUCCAGUGUGUUCUAGUAUAUUCCAGCAUAUCCAUAGUAUUCUGUAUCCAUAGUGCUGUAGUUAACAACAUAUCCCAUAUAUGGAGAUUACUCGGGUAACAAUAUUGUUAGCGUGCGCGUUGCAUAGAGCUUGUAUCCCUGGACUCUGUAUCCCUGGAAGCAUAUAUGCUACAUAA